This 294-nucleotide ribosomal RNA is filed under the name Escherichia coli. RNAcentral describes it as "partial 23S ribosomal RNA". It matches the Rfam family "Bacterial large subunit ribosomal RNA", at positions 1085 to 1378 of the family's 2925-position model. Lineage: Bacteria; Pseudomonadati; Pseudomonadota; Gammaproteobacteria; Enterobacterales; Enterobacteriaceae. The record is from RNAcentral.
CCAGACAGCCAGGAUGUUGGCUUAGAAGCAGCCAUCAUUUAAAGAAAGCGUAAUAGCUCACUGGUCGAGUCGGCCUGCGCGGAAGAUGUAACGGGGCUAAACCAUGCACCGAAGCUGCGGCAGCGACACUAUGUGUUGUUGGGUAGGGGAGCGUUCUGUAAGCCUGCGAAGGUGUGCUGUGAGGCAUGCUGGAGGUAUCAGAAGUGCGAAUGCUGACAUAAGUAACGAUAAAGCGGGUGAAAAGCCCGCUCGCCGGAAGACCAAGGGUUCCUGUCCAACGUUAAUCGGGGCAGG